RNAcentral lists this ribosomal RNA (492 nucleotides) under uncultured bacterium. Its description in RNAcentral is "partial 16S ribosomal RNA". It matches the Rfam family "Bacterial small subunit ribosomal RNA", at positions 29 to 507 of the family's 1533-position model. The record is from RNAcentral.
AGUGAACGCUGGCGGUAGGCCUAACACAUGCAAGUCGAACGGCAGCACAGUAAGAGCUUGCUCUUACGGGUGGCGAGUGGCGGACGGGUGAGGAAUACAUCGGAAUCUACUUUUUCGUGGGGGAUAACGUAGGGAAACUUACGCUAAUACCGCAUACGACCUACGGGUGAAAGCAGGGGAUCUUCGGACCUUGCGCGAUUGAAUGAGCCGAUGUCGGAUUAGCUAGUUGGCGGGGUAAAGGCCCACCAAGGCGACGAUCCGUAGCUGGUCUGAGAGGAUGAUCAGCCAGACUGGAACUGAGACACGGUCCAGACUCCUACGGGAGGAAGCAGUGGGGAAUAUUGGACAAUGGGCGCAAGCCUGAUCCAGCCAUACCGCGUGGGUGAAGAAGGCCUUCGGGUUGUAAAGCCCUUUUGUUGGGAAAGAAAAGCAGCAGGUUAAUACCCCGCUGUUCUGACGGUACCCAAAGAAUAAGCACCGGCUAACUUCGUG